Molecule: ribosomal RNA, 219 nt
Filed under: Triticum aestivum (bread wheat)
Lineage: Eukaryota; Viridiplantae; Streptophyta; Magnoliopsida; Poales; Poaceae
Description: partial small subunit ribosomal RNA
Source: RNAcentral
AUGGAGCAUCCUUACUCGAUUGCGUUCUUCUGUUUUACAGGUGAUGUUGUUGCCUGCUCUUCUAAACUGCCGCUUGUUUAUCGUUUGCUGUUUUGCGUAUCAAGGAGGGUAACUACUGGAAGCAGUUGGCAAGACAAGCAGUCAAUGGAUCUCAAAGCGUUGAUCCUGAAGGAAGGUAACUACUCAAAGGUAUGCACAUAUUCAUGUUGGAGAAGUUAA